GCAUGGGUUUGGAUUUGUGGCGGGUCUGAUCCCAUGGGCCUCUCACAAUGUCCCAGGCCAAAGCAAAAUGUCACCCCAAACCAUUUCCUGGCUUUAACCGGUGGACUUAAGGCAUUGCAGCAGGUUGCACAGUG
Molecule: small nucleolar RNA, 134 nt
Organism: Echinops telfairi (small Madagascar hedgehog)
Lineage: Eukaryota; Metazoa; Chordata; Mammalia; Afrosoricida; Tenrecidae
Source: Ensembl